AUCCAACCGAUGAGUUCAAAAUAGGACGAAACAUGCGUCCUGGAU
Molecule: non-coding RNA, 45 nt
Filed under: Schistosoma mansoni
Lineage: Eukaryota; Metazoa; Platyhelminthes; Trematoda; Strigeidida; Schistosomatidae
Source: RNAcentral